Molecule: unclassified non-coding RNA, 219 nt
Filed under: plant metagenome
Description: partial contains small subunit ribosomal RNA and internal transcribed spacer 1
Source: RNAcentral
AAGUCGUAACAAGGUUUCCGUAGGUAACCUGCGGAAGGUCCAAUUACCCUUUCUGGCUGAUUUUAAAGUAAGCUUGUCUGGGGGCUGCAUUUCUGCAGUCUCUGACUACAUCCGUGUUUUUUGCGUACUACAUGUUUCCUCGGCGGGCUUGCUUGCCGGUUGGACAAACUAAAACUCUUUGCAAUUGCAAUCAGCGUCUGAAUUAUAUAAUAAUUACAA